GGCCGUUUGAAUUUUCCGUUUUUUCUCGGACAGAUUUUUCUGUAUUUAUAGACGAAACUUAGGUCUUGAGGUACCUACUACAAUAGGGUAAAAAAGGAAAUAGUGAAAUCCUCGUUGUGAUCAGAGUCUUUCGAAUAAAAUCGAAAAUAACAAAAACCGUUAUUGCGUCAAUAUUCUCGUAUUCACUCACAUUAUUGGGAAAUCUACAAGGGGAAUCCAAAAUCCCUCAUCUCUCUUAAACAAUAAGACAC
Cinara cedri is the source of this 251-nucleotide non-coding RNA. NCBI's taxonomy places the organism in Eukaryota, Metazoa, Arthropoda, Insecta, Hemiptera, Aphididae. The record is from the annotation of a GenBank genome assembly.